Molecule: long non-coding RNA, 767 nt
Filed under: Rattus norvegicus (Norway rat)
Lineage: Eukaryota; Metazoa; Chordata; Mammalia; Rodentia; Muridae
Description: long non-coding RNA NONRATT003521
Source: RNAcentral
CAAUGUUUUUUAGAAAGUUCAGGGUCAUCCUUGGUUACAUACCAAGUUUGAGGCUAGCCUAGGCUACAUUAAACCGUGUCUCAACAUAGAAAGAAAGAAGAUAGAGGAAGGGAGGCCAAGCACAGUGUCACAGCCAGUCCUUGAUAGCUGCCACUUUCAUGCAUGCUGUAAUACCAGUUUUCUGCAGCAUAGAAACUCAAAGGAUGGAACCCACUGUCCGCUCCAUCUAGCAAUGGAGAUGAACUGCUCCCUGACUUCAGAGCUGUUUCACCAACCUCCACAGGAUAGCCCGGGACUUAGGGUACUACCCAGGACUUAGGGUACCACCCAGCUCUGGGACUUGGGCCACUUGUAUCUUUCUUUCAACUCAUCACAGGUGUCUGUUAUGGGGGAGAGAUGUAAAGUUGUGUGAGAUAUGCUAGAGCCUGGUUAGAUCAGGGCUUAGGGACACCAGAGUUCAGAGACUCGGGGUUAAUUGCAGUUUCCUCACAGGAAGCUGGAGCAGGUGCAUCGCAGCUUCAUGGACGAAAAGGAUCGGAUCAUCACAGCCAUCUACAAUGACACUCGGGCCAGGGCCAGGGCCAACAGAGCCAGGAUUCAGCAGAAGCACCAGCAGAGGCAGCCUCCAACAGAACCCUCUCUGCCUCCAGAAAGUUCCAGGAUCAUGCCCCAGGACACAAGCCAGUGAGAGGCUUACCUAGGUGGGACCUGUAUUGGUCCUCCCCUUGCUGCCUGUCUAGGACUACACGUGCAAUAAACUCAUAUUC